AAGUGUUACAGCUCUUUUAGAAUUUGUCUAACAGGUUUUUUGGCUUUCUCUAGAAAACCUAA
This 62-nucleotide small nuclear RNA is filed under the name Echinops telfairi (small Madagascar hedgehog). RNAcentral's name for it is "U7 small nuclear RNA (ENSETEG00000020782.1)". It matches the Rfam family "U7 small nuclear RNA". Rfam says of the family: Animal histone pre-mRNAs are spliced by a different mechanism than nuclear pre-mRNAs and self-splicing introns. The record is from RNAcentral. Lineage: Eukaryota; Metazoa; Chordata; Mammalia; Afrosoricida; Tenrecidae.